This 74-nucleotide transfer RNA is filed under the name Planctomycetota bacterium. Its description in RNAcentral is "Planctomycetes bacterium tRNA-Asp". It matches the Rfam family "tRNA". Rfam says of the family: Transfer RNA (tRNA) molecules are approximately 80 nucleotides in length. Their secondary structure includes four short double-helical elements and three loops (D, anti-codon, and T loops). The record is from RNAcentral. RNAcentral also lists the same sequence under 2 other names. Lineage: Bacteria; Pseudomonadati; Planctomycetota.
GGGGACGUAGCUCAAUUGGUUAGAGCACCGGCCUGUCACGCCGGAGGUUGCGGGUUCGAGCCCCGUCGUCCUCG